AGAAUCCUAGGGAGGCAGCAGUGGGGGAUAUUGCACAAUGGGGGAAACCCUGAUGCAGCAACGCCGCGUGAGUGAAGAAGGUCUUCGGAUUGUAAAGCUCUGUUCUUGGUGAAGAUAAUGACGGUAGCCAAGGAGAAAGCUCCGGCUAACUACGUGCCAGCAGCCGCGGUAAUACGUAGGGAGCGAGCGUUGUCCGGAUUUACUGGGUGUAAAGGGUGCGCAGGCGGCUCUGCAAGUCAGGCGUGAAAGCUAGGGGCUCAACCCCUAAAUCGCGCUUGAAACUGUGGAGCUUGAGAGAAGGAGAG
Molecule: ribosomal RNA, 305 nt
Filed under: uncultured bacterium
Lineage: Bacteria
Description: bacterial SSU rRNA
Rfam family: Bacterial small subunit ribosomal RNA
Source: RNAcentral